GAAACUCCUUUCAAUUAAGUAAAGGAUUGUACAGCAUUUCUGAAAUUAGAACACUACAUCUAGGGAGAAAGAACCUCUAACCCAAAGAGAAUACCACCAAACUUCUCGGUGUGAGCCUCAUUGUCCGCUAAGUAGACCUGCUUCACCUUUUGAAACACAUGCCAAGUCAACAAGCUAUCUGAGCCAGCCUGAUGGCUAUUCCCAACUACGCGAUUCAGCAUGAGAGUUUCAGCAACCCGGUCCAAUCCGCCAUGAAGAUACGGGAAAAACAUCAUCAUAUACUUCACAUCAUAAACCCUUUUACCAAAAAACACCUUCAUCAACUUCAGAAACUCUGUCAACCCACCUGGCAGGUUACAGCCAGUAAUAACCUUGAUCAGGUAGCCAAAAUCAUAAGCACUGUGAAAU
Molecule: unclassified non-coding RNA, 408 nt
Filed under: Hevea brasiliensis (rubber tree)
Lineage: Eukaryota; Viridiplantae; Streptophyta; Magnoliopsida; Malpighiales; Euphorbiaceae
Source: RNAcentral